GACGAACGCUGGCGGCGUGCUUAACACAUGCAAGUCGAGCGAUGAAGUUCCUUCGGGAAUGGAUUAGCGGCGGACGGGUGAGUAACACGUGGGUAACCUGCCUCAUAGAGGGGAAUAGCCUUCCGAAAGGAAGAUUAAUACCGCAUAAGAUUGUAGUAUCGCAUGAUACAGCAAUUAAAGGAGUAAUUCGCUAUGAGAUGGACCCGCGUCGCAUUAGCUAGUUGGUGAGGUAACGGCUCACCAAGGCGACGAUGCGUAGCCGACCUGAGAGGGUGAUCGGCCACAUUGGGACUGAGACACGGCCCAGACUCCUACGGGAGGCAGCAGUGGGGAAUAUUGCACAAUGGGGGAAACCCUGAUGCAGCAACGCCGCGUGAGUGAUGACGGUCUUCGGAUUGUAAAACUCUGUCUUCAGGGACGAUAAUGACGGUACCUGAGGAGGAAGCCACGGCUAACUACGUGCCAGCAGCCGCCGUAA
RNAcentral lists this ribosomal RNA (478 nucleotides) under uncultured bacterium. RNAcentral's name for it is "partial 16S ribosomal RNA". It matches the Rfam family "Bacterial small subunit ribosomal RNA", at positions 28 to 523 of the family's 1533-position model. The record is from RNAcentral.